UGUAAUUAUUCGCCUACCUCCUCAUGCCUUUUGCACACAUUGUAUAUAGACUCCCCCCUUUGUUUUCUACUGUGUUAUUGACUUGUUAAUUGUUUAUUCCAUGUGUAACUCUGUGUUGUCUGCUCUCACUGCUAUGCUUUAUCUUGGCCAGGUCGCAGUUGCAAAUGAGAACUUGUUCUCAACUGGCCUACCUGGUUAAAUAAAGGUAAGAUAAAAAUAAUAAUAAUAAAACAAAAAAAUUUAACAAUGACUAAAUAGCUUGUAGCUAGUUAGCUGGUUAGCUUCUGGAGGUUCUUGAGUGUGUUCUAAAAAUUAAAAAUAAUAGCGAUUCCGUAUCACAUUGGGUGAGGCAGG
Molecule: long non-coding RNA, 354 nt
Organism: Oncorhynchus tshawytscha (Chinook salmon)
Lineage: Eukaryota; Metazoa; Chordata; Actinopteri; Salmoniformes; Salmonidae
Source: Ensembl